RNAcentral lists this ribosomal RNA (858 nucleotides) under Phlebia rufa. RNAcentral describes it as "partial large subunit ribosomal RNA". It matches the Rfam family "Eukaryotic large subunit ribosomal RNA", at positions 71 to 915 of the family's 3401-position model. Lineage: Eukaryota; Fungi; Basidiomycota; Agaricomycetes; Polyporales; Meruliaceae. The record is from RNAcentral.
AGGAUUCCCCUAGUAACUGCGAGUGAAGCGGGAAAAGCUCAAAUUUAAAAUCUGGCGGUCUUCGAUCGUCCGAGUUGUAGUCUGGAGAAGCGUCUUCCGCGCUGGACCGUGUACAAGUCUCUUGGAACAGAGCGUCGUAGAGGGUGAGAAUCCCGUCUUUGACACGGACUACCAGUGCUUUGUGAUGCGCUCUCAAAGAGUCGAGUUGUUUGGGAAUGCAGCUCAAAAUGGGUGGUAAAUUCCAUCUAAAGCUAAAUAUUGGCGAGAGACCGAUAGCGAACAAGUACCGUGAGGGAAAGAUGAAAAGCACUUUGGAAAGAGAGUUAAACAGUACGUGAAAUUGCUGAAAGGGAAACGAUUGAAGUCAGUCGCGUCGUCUAGAACUCAACCUGGCCUCGGCUCGGUGCAUUUUCUAGUUGACGGGCCAGCAUCAGUUUUGACCGUUGGAAAAAGGUCCUUGGAAUGUGGCACCUUCGGGUGUGUUAUAGCCUUGGGUCGUAUACGACGGUUGGGACUGAGGACCGCAGCACGCCUUUAUGGCCGGGGUUCGCCCACGUACGUGCUUAGGAUGCUGGCGUAAUGGCUUUAAACGACCCGUCUUGAAACACGGACCAAGGAGUCUAACAUGCCUGCGAGUGUUUGGGUGGUAAACCCGAGCGCGCAACGAAAGUGAAAGUUGGGAUCCCUGUCGUGGGGAGCACCGACGCCCACACCAGACCUUCUGUGACGGAUGUGCGGUUGAGCAUGUAUGUUGGGACCCGAAAGAUGGUGAACUAUGCCUGAAUAGGGUGAAGCCAGAGGAAACUCUGGUGGAGGCUCGUAGCGAUUCUGACGUGCAAAUCGAUCGUCAAAUUUGGG